GGGGCUGGUGGGGUUCAUCUUCUUGAAUCUACUGUCUCCACUGCGGAGCUAUAUACUGCUUGGGAGGGUAUCUCCUAUGCUAGACAUACCCUCAGGACGGACCGACUGAUGGUGUGGGGAAACUCUACUACUGAUGGUUAGUUGGAUUCAUUAUCAGGAGGUACCACUGUCUCUAGCUAUUUUAUCUGCAUAUUCGUUAUUUGCUGGUUGGUUGUGCUUUCAUUGACGUUAGACACAUUUAUCGUAAGACGAAUAAUGCUGUGGAUUAGAUGGUGAAUUUUGUUGCCGAUCACUUUGGAAAAGAUAGUUGGUCGGAUUUUGAUAUUUUGCCAUCUGAUUUUUAAAAUAUUUUUUUUUCUAAAUUUUGGACUGUAUUCAUUUUCGCAUUGUAUGAACGCUCCUUCAAAAAAAAAAAAAAAAAAAUGUUCAUCCAGACGCUUAUUUAGGACUCAAUUCAUCGUCACAAAUGAAUAGACGCGAUGAUCCGGGGGAUGUCAAGUUACCGCCUGACAAUGAUCAGACGGCCAUGAUUGGAUUCAGCCAUUUCACAGAAUGGGAGGGGUAAUCUUGGCACCCUCAACCCCUUAUCCU
This 591-nucleotide long non-coding RNA is filed under the name Elaeis guineensis (African oil palm). RNAcentral describes it as "long non-coding RNA (EGUI_LNC023922)". Lineage: Eukaryota; Viridiplantae; Streptophyta; Magnoliopsida; Arecales; Arecaceae. The record is from RNAcentral.